ACCUUGUUUUUUUUAGUUAUCUAGAAAUAGUUAUUAAAUAUUUUUUAUUUUUUUUAUUUUACAUUUUUAUAAAAAAAAAAAAAAAAGUAAAUGGAAUUACACCACCUCAUCACAAAAUGACAAAACUUCAUAACAAAUCUUAUCAAAAUGGGAAGGGGUCACGUUUUUGGAAAAUUUUAUUGUUAGGGGGUGGGUCCCACAUAAAAUAAAAAAUAAUAAAAAAAAGGUGGAAACACGUGAAAAGAGGGGAGCAUCUUUCCGUUUUAGGGGCUCCGGCUCCAUUUUUUUUCUUUGAUAGAGAUAAGCAUACACAGAUAGAGACAAAAGGAAGCAUACACAGAUAGCGGGAAUUUUUCUGGAUAGGAGGGAUUAUUAUAAAAAGAAAGAUGAUAGAUCAUCUUCUUCAUUUUUUUUCCCCACUAAAAACCGUGACCCACCACCUCCACCACCUCCAUUCCUUUCCACCAUCUCCCUCCACCCCAUUCACCACCGUUAAACCAUCCCUUUCUGCCUGAUCCACCACCGUUUCUCAACCACCACGUCACCAACGUCGUAACCCACCUGAAACCGGUCACCAAAAAAUCAUAAGACCACCAUAGAAAAACACAUACAACACCAAACAGAUCCUUAAACCCCCCAUUUUAAACCAGCACCAAAACCCAAAAACUCGAAAACCCGUCUCCAUUUUCUCAAAAAUCGCCCGCUCAACUUGAGCAAAAGAAAAAAAAAGAGUUAAAUGCUGUUAAGUUAGUCGAUUCAUCGUCUGUUCGUUGGGAUUUCGCGUUGAGGUCAUCGGAUUCCGGUCAAGGCGUCGCGUCAUUUGUUCCGUUCGAUUGGAAGUUUUGGGUAAAAUUAAUUCAAAAAUGGAGAUUUUGAUUAGGGACACUGGGGCUGGUUAUAAAUUCAGAUUAAUAUCUCAUUGAAGCUUUGUUUUACAAUUAAGGCCCGUAGGCAAACGUUAGGGUCAUUUAAUUUGCGUGUGUUUGCUUUUUGCUCGCUUUUACAUAUUAUGUAUUCAUUCUCGGGUGGGAUGUCCCGGAAGAAAACUAAAAUGUAAAAAUGGAGGCCGCGGUUACGGUGAUAAAAUUAGGGGUAAUGUCGUUUUCUUUAUACUCUUCUCUGUUUGGAUAUUCUGCUUUGUUGUAAUUAAUGGAGGUCUUGUUAAUUUAAUUAUUCGGUCGUA
Lycium barbarum (goji berry) is the source of this 1183-nucleotide long non-coding RNA. RefSeq lists it as uncharacterized. NCBI's taxonomy places the organism in Eukaryota, Viridiplantae, Streptophyta, Magnoliopsida, Solanales, Solanaceae. The record is from RefSeq and is a predicted model, not a curated record. The transcript has 2 exons.